AUUGAACGCUGGCGGCAGGCCUAACACAUGCAAGUCGAGCGGAUGAAGGGAGCUUGCUCCUGGAUUCAGCGGCGGACGGGUGAGUAAUGCCUAGGAAUCUGCCUGGUAGUGGGGGAUAACGUCCGGAAACGGGCGCUAGUACCGCAUACGUCCUGAGGGAGAAAGUGGGGGAUCUUCGGACCUCACGCUAUCAGAUGAGCCUAGGUCGGAUUAGCUAGUUGGUGGGGUAAAGGCCUACCAAGGCGACGAUCCGUAACUGGUCUGAGAGGAUGAUCAGUCACACUGGAACUGAGACACGGUCCAGACUCCUACGGGAGGCAGCAGUGGGGAAUAUUGGACAAUGGGCGAAAGCCUGAUCCAGCCAUGCCGCGUGUGUGAAGAAGGUCUUCGGAUUGUAAAGCACUUUAAGUUGGGAGGAAGGGCAGUAAGUUAAUACCUUGCUGUUUUGACGUUACCAACAGAAUAAGCACCGGCUAACUUCGU
This 483-nucleotide ribosomal RNA is filed under the name uncultured bacterium. RNAcentral describes it as "partial 16S ribosomal RNA". It matches the Rfam family "Bacterial small subunit ribosomal RNA", at positions 30 to 506 of the family's 1533-position model. The record is from RNAcentral.